RNAcentral lists this transfer RNA (81 nucleotides) under Vibrio parahaemolyticus. Its description in RNAcentral is "tRNA-Leu". It matches the Rfam family "tRNA". Rfam says of the family: Transfer RNA (tRNA) molecules are approximately 80 nucleotides in length. Their secondary structure includes four short double-helical elements and three loops (D, anti-codon, and T loops). Lineage: Bacteria; Pseudomonadati; Pseudomonadota; Gammaproteobacteria; Vibrionales; Vibrionaceae. The record is from RNAcentral. RNAcentral also lists the same sequence under 4 other names.
GUGGUGGAAUUGGUAGACACAAGGGAUUUAAAAUCCCUCGGCGUUCGCGCUGUGCCGGUUCAAGUCCGGCCCGGGGCACCA